GAUGAACGCUGGCGGCGUGCCUAACACAUGCAAGUCGAGCGAACGGACGAGAAGCUCGCUUCUCUGAUGUUAGCGGCUGACAAGUGAGUAACACGUGGAUAACCUACCUAUAAGACUGGGAUAAACUCGGGAAACCGGCGCUAAUAACGGAUAAUAUUUUGAACCGCAUGGUUCAAAAGUGAAAGACGGUCUUGCUGUCACUUAUAGAUGGAUCCGCGCUGCAUUAGCUAGUUGGUAAGGUAACGGCUUACCAAGGCAACGAUGCAUAGCCGACCUGAGAGGGUGACCGGCCACACUGGAACUGAGACACGGUCCAAACUCCUACGGGAGGAAGCGGUAGGGAAUCUUCCGCAAUGGGCGAAAGCUUACCGGAGCAACGCCGCGGGGGGGAGGAGGGUCUUCGGAUCGUAAAACUCUGUUAUUGGGGAGGAAAGUAUGUGUAAGUAGCUGUGCACAUAUUGACGGUACCUAAACAGAAAGCCACGGCUAACUACGUG
Molecule: ribosomal RNA, 497 nt
Filed under: uncultured bacterium
Lineage: Bacteria
Description: partial 16S ribosomal RNA
Rfam family: Bacterial small subunit ribosomal RNA
Source: RNAcentral